CGGUACGCGUAACACGUAAGCAACCUGCCCCAAAGACCGGGACAACGUUUCGAAAGGAGCGCUAAUACCGGAUGUGACCUCUUUUUGACAUCGGAGAGAGAUUAAAGCGAGCAAUCGGCUUUGGGAGGGGCUUGCGGCCUAUCAGCUAGAUGGUGGGGUAACGGCCUACCAUGGCGACGACGGGUAGCUGGUCUGAGAGGAUGGUCAGCCGGAUUGGGACUGAGAUACGGCCCAG
RNAcentral lists this ribosomal RNA (235 nucleotides) under uncultured bacterium. RNAcentral's name for it is "partial 16S ribosomal RNA". It matches the Rfam family "Bacterial small subunit ribosomal RNA", at positions 106 to 334 of the family's 1533-position model. The record is from RNAcentral.